AAAAAAAGGCUUUAAUGAGGCCAUAAAACCAAGAGUUCUUAAGGUUAUAACUAAAGCCUCAAGUUCUCCACAGGAUGCCACAGUCACUUCAAUAAUGCUAAUGUGUUCUUGAGACAUGUAAGA
Molecule: small nucleolar RNA, 123 nt
Filed under: Fukomys damarensis (Damara mole-rat)
Lineage: Eukaryota; Metazoa; Chordata; Mammalia; Rodentia; Bathyergidae
Description: Small nucleolar RNA SNORA25 (ENSFDAG00000004797.1)
Source: RNAcentral